UACGUAGGGCGCAAGCGUUAUCCGGAAUUAUUGGGCGUAAAGAGCUCGUAGGCGGUUUGUCGCGUCUGCCGUGAAAGUCCGGGGCUCAACUCCGGAUCUGCGGUGGGUACGGGCAGACUAGAGUGAUGUAGGGGAGACUGGAAUUCCUGGUGUAGCGGUGAAAUGCGCAGAUAUCAGGAGGAACACCGAUGGCGAAGGCAGGUCUCUGGGCAUUAACUGACGCUGAGACCCGAAAGCCAGGGGAGCGAACCGG
Molecule: unclassified non-coding RNA, 253 nt
Filed under: uncultured Micrococcaceae bacterium
Lineage: Bacteria; Bacillati; Actinomycetota; Actinomycetes; Micrococcales; Micrococcaceae
Description: contains 16S-23S intergenic spacer region
Rfam family: Bacterial small subunit ribosomal RNA
Source: RNAcentral